RNAcentral lists this ribosomal RNA (349 nucleotides) under uncultured bacterium. RNAcentral describes it as "bacterial SSU rRNA". It matches the Rfam family "Bacterial small subunit ribosomal RNA", at positions 917 to 1269 of the family's 1533-position model. The record is from RNAcentral.
GGACCCGCACAAGCGGUGGAGCAUGUGGUUUAAUUCGAUGCAACGCGAAAAACCUUACCUAUACUUGACAUACUUGGAAUGCUUUGUAAUGAAGUAGUGCCUUCGGGAGCCAAGAUACAGGUGCUGCAUGGCUGUCGUCAGCUCGUGUCGUGAGAUGUUCCGUUAAGUCGGAUAACGAGCGCAACCUUACCCUUAUUUGCCAGCGAUUCGGUCGGGAACUAUAAGGGGACUGCCGGUGAUAAACCGGAGGAAGGUGAGGACGACGUCAAGUCAUCAUGGCCCUUACGUAUAGGGCUACACACGUGCUACAAUGGAGAAUACAGACGGACGCUAAGCCGCGAGUGGUGCC